Molecule: ribosomal RNA, 223 nt
Filed under: uncultured bacterium
Lineage: Bacteria
Description: partial 16S ribosomal RNA
Rfam family: Bacterial small subunit ribosomal RNA
Source: RNAcentral
UACGAAGGGGGCUAGCGUUGCUCGGAAUCACUGGGCGUAAAGGGUGCGUAGGCGGGUCUUUAAGUCAGGGGUGAAAUCCUGGAGCUCAACUCCAGAACUGCCUUUGAUACUGAAGAUCUUGAGUUCGGGAGAGGUGAGUGGAACUGCGAGUGUAGAGGUGAAAUUCGUAGAUAUUCGCAAGAACACCAGUGGCGAAGGCGGCUCACUGGCCCGAUACUGACGC